Molecule: transfer RNA, 83 nt
Filed under: Clostridiaceae bacterium
Lineage: Bacteria; Bacillati; Bacillota; Clostridia; Eubacteriales; Clostridiaceae
Description: tRNA-Leu
Rfam family: tRNA
About the family: Transfer RNA (tRNA) molecules are approximately 80 nucleotides in length. Their secondary structure includes four short double-helical elements and three loops (D, anti-codon, and T loops). Further hydrogen bonds mediate the characteristic L-shaped molecular structure. tRNAs have two regions of fundamental functional importance: the anti-codon, which is responsible for specific mRNA codon recognition, and the 3' end, to which the tRNAs corresponding amino acid is attached (by aminoacyl-tRNA synthetases). tRNAs cope with the degeneracy of the genetic code in two manners: having more than one tRNA (with a specific anti-codon) for a particular amino acid; and 'wobble' base-pairing, i.e. permitting non-standard base-pairing at the 3rd anti-codon position.
Source: RNAcentral
GCGCCUGUGGUGGAAUUGGCAGACACGCAAGAUUUAGGAUCUUGUACGUAAGUGUGCAGGUUCAAGUCCUGUCAGGCGCACCA